Molecule: long non-coding RNA, 3343 nt
Organism: Scophthalmus maximus (turbot)
Lineage: Eukaryota; Metazoa; Chordata; Actinopteri; Pleuronectiformes; Scophthalmidae
Exons: 3
Source: RefSeq, a predicted model, not a curated record
AAAUGAAAUAUCCCCUAGCAAAAUGACAUUAGUUGAGGAGACAGUAAAGACAUAAAAUGAUACCAUACUAAAACAGGUGCAACACCCAAACAGGUCAAACAUUGAGUACACAGUCUUACACCACAUCAUAAUCCAACAACCUCAAAGCUUCACAGUGCAUCUGUCAAUCAACAACCACAACAACAACAACAACAACAACAAGAGGGCAACCAGGGUCAGCUAAGAGCUAAUGCUCCACACAACCACACAGAGGUUGAAGACAGGAGCUGGGCGGUUAGCAGCACACACGCCACGACAGGUCAAUAAUAAAGUAGCCAGCGGCAUUAGCAUUGUUAGCAUGAGCACUAUAAUGGUCACCCACAGCACACAGUGGAGACAUCGACUGAUCAUGUUAUAGGAAGCACCAAAGGCCCAAGCUUACCUCGGCCGGGUGAAGCAGUGCUGUCCAGCAAUCUCGGCUGUUACGCUGUGGUAGGAAGAGGCCGUGACUGGUCCAAGUUUAUCUGGAGUGAAACAACUCCUCCUCGGUGAUGAGAUGUGACGAAUCACUAACCGGUCCUGGGUUUUUGUCCCAUAUCGUCGUUCGGUGUGUUUGGGAAGUUUGUCGACAGGCUUGCAGGUUAAAAAAAAAAAAAAAGCGGUCGUGUUGUGCAGCAGUUGUAACGUUACAGGGGAGCUAGCCUAGCACAGAGGCUAACAGCAGCAGUUAGCUAGCAAGACAUGAGAGUGGACGGGGGAGCUGCACGCGCUACUACAACGCAAUGGCGGAUCAUGGAGCCUCUCAACAGUUCCCGGAAGCGAGCAGCAGAAGAAUGGAGUCAAUGGACCGUCUGUGUUGCACCUACAAAGGAGCACACAUGAGCCCAUAGAGCAGUAGACCCUGGGGACGACCCCCUUUGGUGUGCUGAUCUGUUCCUGUCGGUGUUAAGGCCUUCUCCCUAUUCCCCGUGAGGAAGUGCAGCUCUGGAAGUAAUAUGCGAGCAUGAUGAUCCACUUCCCCGUCCUGACCCAGACUUGUAGAAGGAUGGUCCCACUCCAGCGAGGACUGAUUGAGGUUGCACAAUGUUUAUAUCCAAUAGAUCUUCUUCUUGUGUCUUGCGUACUUACAAAUAUCUCUAUUACAUAUUGAAAAUAUAAUCCAGUAUCUGGAUUACUAAAGUAAUUUAUCUUUCUAAUCUCCAUCUAAUUUUCUUUUUGUAAACUUGAACAUAGAAGAUAUAUUACUGGGUAAGAGAAAAAUCAAGGUUACUAUUGUUUGGAAUGUUGUGACUGUAUGAGCAUUAGCUAAUAUGCAUGGUAGGCCUGUUCACCAGGGGUGAGACUGAGGGUCUUCCCUCAGACAAAGCUAUAUGAAAAAUAUACGUGCCCUCAAUACACCUUAAUUCACUUCCCUAGUUUGGCUCAGUUUUUCAGUUGAGCAUAACCACAUCAAAUACAAAAAAGGCUGCCCUAAGGUGUUUUUUUGUUUGUUUUAUUCAUUAGACCAACUGGUGGCAGGCUAGCUGCCUCCUCUGACAGCUGGAUUGUAGUGGGAAUUGGAUAACAAAUGACAAAAGAGGUCCACCUUAUCUUUGGUCACUCCAAGUCCAAAGCUACCCUGAGAACAUGAGUGGGUGGCGUAAAGGGCCUUCUGGUGACUACAGUACAUUGAUCAAAUGUGUUUCCAGUGACAUUUUAAGGUGUAUGUUAUAUUUCUUUUGGCAUAGUAUAAGAGCCUGGUUAAACAAAAAAACAAGAUAAGGAAACUGGUUAGAACAGACCUACGUAGGAAGCUAUAGAAAAAUAAGACAAGUGAGAUAUGGCAGGGAAAGGACAUAGUUUUCAUUUCUUAGUAAGAAAACAUUUUCUUCCAUUUGAAGAAAUGAGAGAAUGGUGUGUUCAAAUGGCAAAUAUAAAAGGGUUCUCUAAAUUACAGUCGUGUGUUCUGAUACAGAUUGUCUGAGAAUUGAUUUCAAAGUGGAUCUGGAUUGCUCUCAUUAUUUGAUGCUUUUAUUCAAUGCCCAACAAUUUUAUACAUUUUUGUAUGAGGGGCACGAGCACAGAUCAACCUGUGUGCUCACUGAAACCAAUGCCUCUGCUCUUUUGAAAUCCCCCUGAAUCCUAUCUGUGGUUGACCAGCAAGGGGAAUCACAGGUAAUUCUAAUUCAUUACAGGGCAUUUCACAGCUGAGUCAACACUCAGCACAAAAGCGUUCAAGCAGUAUCAGCCUCCUCACAGGAUCGGGAAACACAUCCGGUGAAGAGUGGUGUUGUUGAAAGAAAAAAAAAAGGAGGUUCUCGUGUGGGAUUUGUAUGGGUUUCUUUGUCAGCAAUGAGAUGUUCCCGUGUGUCACGGUGACUAAGAAGCCUGUGUAUCAAACCACGUAUUGUAACACAAAACCCCUCAUUUCCAUCAAAACAAAAUGAAAGGGGAUUGCAGGUCUUUGUGGCCCUGUUGAAUCUGUAGAUCAAACUGAAAGUGGAUCACGGGCUAUAUUUGUCUAGAGGCUUUUCUCAGCAGCACAAUUCAAACUGUUAAAUCAAGUAAAAUAUUUGCAUUAUAAAGCAUGCGUCAUUACAGCCAUUGAGCUUUUCAACCAAUCAACGCUGCAGCACUACAAUUUUGGCAGCAAUAGCUAUUUAUAUGUACAGUAUUUGCAAAUGCUUUGCAUCUCAUCCCUUUGCUGUGUGUUGUUUCGUCAUGUACUGUAUAGCCAGCAGUUUUCCCCCAUCAGAGCCUUCCUGAGCCCUGAGAAACCUAUUAAUCUUUAACUAGGAGCUAUAGUGGCAGCCGGUGCUUUUAAGCCUGAUCUUUAUUGCAGCAAGCAGCAGGAUAUACAUGCCCAGAGUCUACAUUAAGAGCUCUGCUCUGUUCAGUUGUGCAAACAUGUAUAUUGCACAGAGAGAUGCUGUUUUUGUCUCCCCCAUAAACAGGAUGUGUUUGGCUCUGUAUAGUCGUCUGAAAACAGGGCCGGUUUGAGUUCAUAUUCUAUUUUAUAAGCACUGCAGUUUAUCCUGAUAUGACACAAAUUAAAUCUUCUAAUGUCAUUUCAUAAAAUUUCAUUUCAUUUUUAUGAUUCUUAAUUUCAUCAUUUUAGCUGCACCUAAAUUAUAUUCAGUGGGAAAAAACAGAGUCGUGUUUCCUGAGUGCGUAACUAUCAAAAAGAAAGAAAUCUUGAUUGAAUCAUCCAUCUCAAAAGCACACUAAUUGGAGGUUUUAGAAAUAUUCUCUUAAUCAUUUUCUUUAUGAAAAACCAGAGGAAAAUACAUGUGUUUCAGCUUGUAAAAAUAUUGCUGUUACAGUGUGUCAGUGUAUGUCUGUCUCUGCUCUGUAUCACUGCGGAGAAGACCGCCCCUGUUGUGUG